This 3007-nucleotide long non-coding RNA is filed under the name Salmo salar (Atlantic salmon). RNAcentral's name for it is "lncRNA (ENSSSAG00000082733.1)". The record is from RNAcentral. Lineage: Eukaryota; Metazoa; Chordata; Actinopteri; Salmoniformes; Salmonidae.
GGUGUUUAGAAACCUUAUUGGCCAGCAUGGUAACAUUUAAAAGCCCCUGGAUAUAUCCUAUUUCUUCUUUAUGGCUUCUACAAUUUGUCUCCUUUUCAUGACCGCUAACAUGUGAGUGGUGGACAUAAUACAGCCUAUAGGCAGUCAGUCCUAUUCAUAUCAGUGAUGAUGGAGGAAAGGAAACAAUGAAAGGAGUACAUCAUUCUCAACACAAUGAACCCUAGCUAAUUAUAUUGGUGGAGAGUGUAGGACACAAAAUAUUCACAGCUAUCAAAGAGAUCCUUGAGUCUAUGCAAGCUGGUUCAUUGCCUUUAAUAAAGGUCAGGUCAAGUCACAAGACAACCAUUUGGAUUUACACAAGGAGCUUUGGGGGCAGGGGAGGGAGUGUGCAAGAGGGAAAAUAUGUUCUAUAGGGAGCUGGGAUAUCAAGAAAAUAUAGGUUUAAUCCCCAUCGUAAUCACCACUAUCACAUCAUUAUCAUCUGGUUCUCAUUCUCCAUUCACAAUAGUAUUACCCAUCAACAUUUCACUAUCAUUACCAUUAUUUUAAUAUCAUACAGAACAUGUGCUAAAAUGUGGAGUACUACUGGAAUUAUUGCAUUUAUACGCUCUUUGAGACCAAGGAAAAUAACUGAUAGAUUUUAUUUAGUACUCUGUGACGUGAUGACUAGGCUAUUUGAACAAGUACCUGCAGAAUAUGUGUCUGUUCUGUUGGUGUGCUGAAGGUAUUUAUAUUGCAUCAUGGUACGCUACAUGCCAGUAUUCAAGCAAGAUGUUUGAUUGGGUGUUAAAUCUCCUAGGCCUCUGAUUUAAAAAAAAAUGUUUGUCUGUUAUCAAAAAUAGGAGUGCUUCUCUGUAAUGAAUAGGGAAACAACAGAUGAAACAAUCUCAGUUUAUCUACUAAAUAAAUCCAGCUAUUUCUCUACUCCCAUCAAUAAUGCAUGCUUUCUACUUGGAUUCUAGGUUUAUCAAACUAUCAAAAAAUAUUAAUGUAUUACAAAAUAAACCGUAAUGCAUGUAUUAUCAUCAUUUCAUCAUACUUUCAAAGCUUUCCAGGAGGUUGGAGAUGGAUGUAAUAUAUUUGUGUAUAUGCUGAUUUGCUGAGCAUGACUGACCAAGCUACUACAUACAUUGGUACACCACAUAUUGCAUGUAGAAUAUUUUCAUUCUGAAUCGAAAUUCAUACAUACAAUGUACAGUACUAUUACAGUAGCUGCACAGUCUCUCGCACUAUCACUCGAACAUGUAUGGUCUUCAAAUAAAUAGAGGCUACACUAUUUAUCCAGAGAAAUUAUAGUAAGCAAGCUGUUAAUACAUUUGACAAAUAGACACACCAAGGGAUUACAGUGUUAACACAUAGGGUUAAAAUAUAUUAUUUAGCACAAUUCAGUGUAUAUGUAUAUACUUUUGGUUUAUACUCCAUUUGUGUCACCAGGGUCAUAAACACAGGCAGCCAGGCAUAACUGUGACUAUAUUCUCACUGUGCAUAUUGAUUUUGGAGAUGGGGCAAUUUGACUAUGAAUUGUUAUUACCUCAGCAUCAGUUGAGACAGAAAUGGAAGUCUAUCACAAACAAUUAUUUAAGUGACUUCAUCUGUCACACUAUCUGCCAUUGCUAACUUCACUUACACACAGCCUUCCCAAAACCAUGCAACUUCCCCUGAAUUGAUAUAACGAUAUCUCCUGGUCUAAAACCGUUAUAUAACGAUAUCUCCUGGUCUAAAACCGUUAUAUAACGAUAUCUCCUGGUCUAAAACCGUUAUUCAUAAGGGUUCACAUCUGAUCUGCAGGGACCAUGUAUUUACAUCAAAAGCAAUACGAACAUAGAAAUAACACAUACUAGGCACCAGGGUUAGGAUCAAUUUCAUUUAAAUUCCAUUCAGAAAUUAAACUAAAUUUAAAUUCCAAACGUUCUAUAUUAAAAACGAUUCAAGAGAAUUGGAAUGUCAGUGUACUUCCUGAAUUGACUGGAAUUUAUAUGAAAUUGACCCCAAACCUGCUAGGCACUCACAAUAGUAUGUUUAAUAUACUUCAUACUUCACUUCAUAUGACCUUUUUCAAAUCAAACAAUAUAAAGUUACUGUAUUUCUACUUCUAACUUAUGUAUUAGUAGACCCAGAAACAUCUAAAUGUUUAUCAGUGCAUACUGGAUAAAUAGGGUAUUCAAGUACUGUAUAUAUGUGUGUGUCCAGUGUAACUGUUGGAUUGCAUUUGUAUGGUGAUUAAAAGCCUGUAGAGCUAUAAGUAGGUGCAGUUAGAGGGGUGGAGCAAAUUCAUGCAUGAGUAUACUAGCAGGGGCCCAAAAAUGUAUUACUUGAAUGUUCACUGAUGUUUAUAUUCACUACAAGAAAGGUCAGACUGAAUUAAACUUAAGAAGCACAGUGGCUCCCCAUCCCCCAUCUCUACCAGCUGCAUGAUAGUCUGUGAACCAAUCAGCAAGUGACUCGUUAACCCAUCGACCAAUAGGUUUUGAUGAUGAGUGGUGGUGGUGGUUAAUUUCUUCGUGCCAACAACAGUGCCCCCAACAGGAUGGCACCAGCAGCGAUGAUGGCACCACCAAUGAGGAAGGGCUUCAGGCUUUCCAGGGAGUCCGUACUGGCCUCUGCUGCCUCCUCGCCCUCUGGUUCAGCUGAUCCAUCCUCCACUUGAGGCUCUUCCACAGGGGCCGCUGGGGGUGGAGCCUCUACUUGAGCGGGGUCAAUCUUUUUAGGGGGAGCUGCCUCCUUCUUCUCCGUCUUCUCUGCUUUAGAGGAUGCCUUGGGCGCUGGUGCCCCGCUCUUAGCCUUGGCUUCCAUAGGAUCCAGAAACAGAGGUGGGGUUGGUCAGGAGUGUCUUUCAGGUCAGCGCUGCUUCACUGAUGGAAAACAGCAAACAGAGGCAGACAGAUAAUCACACAGAUUAGACUCUGUUAUCUGCUCUACUGUCCCCUGGUGUUAUUAUACCGACAAGGAGCAUCAACAUACACAGGAAGUAUUAUACACCUCCUUAUUCACUGCAGAAUGAAGCAAA